This 1122-nucleotide ribosomal RNA is filed under the name Vibrio sp. LC307. RNAcentral describes it as "bacterial SSU rRNA". It matches the Rfam family "Bacterial small subunit ribosomal RNA", at positions 339 to 1449 of the family's 1533-position model. The record is from RNAcentral. Lineage: Bacteria; Pseudomonadati; Pseudomonadota; Gammaproteobacteria; Vibrionales; Vibrionaceae.
CUACGGGAGGCAGCAGUGGGGAAUAUUGCACAAUGGGCGCAAGCCUGAUGCAGCCAUGCCGCGUGUGUGAAGAAGGCCUUCGGGUUGUAAAGCACUUUCAGCAGUGAGGAAGGCGGGUACGUUAAUAGCGUGCUCGUUUGACGUUAGCUGCAGAAGAAGCACCGGCUAACUCCGUGCCAGCAGCCGCGGUAAUACGGAGGGUGCGAGCGUUAAUCGGAAUUACUGGGCGUAAAGCGCAUGCAGGUGGUUUGUUAAGUCAGAUGUGAAAGCCCGGGGCUCAACCUCGGAACAGCAUUUGAAACUGGCAGACUAGAGUACUGUAGAGGGGGGGUAGAAUUUCAGGUGUAGCGGUGAAAUGCGUAGAGAUCUGAAGGAAUACCGGUGGGCGAAGGCGGCCCCCUGGACAGAUACUGACACUCAGAUGCGAAAGCGUGGGGGAGCAAACAGGAUUAGAUACCCUGGUAGUCCACGCCGUAAACGAUGUCUACUUGGAGGUUGUGGCCUUGAGCCGUGGCUUUCGGAGCUAACGCGUUAAGUAGACCGCCUGGGGGAGUACGGUCGCAAGAUUAAAACUCAAAUGAAUUGACGGGGGCCCGCACAAGCGGUGGAAGCAUGUGGUUUAAUUCGAUGCAACGCGAAGAACCUUACCUACUCUUGACAUCCAGAGAACUUAGCAGAGAUGCUUUGGUGCCUUCGGGAGCUCUGARACAGGUGCUGCAUGGCUGUCGUCAGCUCGUGUUGUGAAAUGUUGGGUUAAGUCCCGCAACGAGCGCAACCCUUAUCCUUGUUUGCCAGCACUUCGGGUGGGAACUCCAGGGAGACUGCCGGUGAUAAACCGGAGGAAGGUGGGGACGACGUCAAGUCAUCAUGGCCCUUACGAGUAGGGCUACACACGUGCUACAAUGGCGCAUACAGAGGGCAGCCAACUUGCGAGAGUGAGCGAAUCCCAAAAAGUGCGUCGUAGUCCGGAUUGGAGUCUGCAACUCGACUCCAUGAAGUCGGAAUCGCUAGUAAUCGUGGAUCAGAAUGCCACGGUGAAUACGUUCCCGGGCCUUGUACACACCGCCCGUCACACCAUGGGAGUGGGCUGCAAAAGAAGUGGGUAGUUUAACCUUCGGGAGG